RNAcentral lists this ribosomal RNA (1830 nucleotides) under Triticum aestivum (bread wheat). RNAcentral's name for it is "partial small subunit ribosomal RNA". The record is from RNAcentral. Lineage: Eukaryota; Viridiplantae; Streptophyta; Magnoliopsida; Poales; Poaceae.
AUGGCUCCCCGCCUGCAUGGGGAUGAGGGGCCCCGCCCGAAGAGGCCGUUGGAGCGCCCUGAGUCCUCUCGCCCUCCGCGUGGCCCUCCCAUGCCGGCUAGGGACGGCGCCCGACGGGGGGCCGACAACCGCCGGCUCGCUGACCGGGAUGACUGGGCCGCUCCCCGCAGAGCUUGGGCAGCCGCUCCCUACUGGCCGCUCCCCGCUCGUGAGGGCACCCUUGAGGGCCGGCGCGACGCACGACUCCCUCUGCCUGGUUCGCAGGGGGCGCGACGCCGGGAGGAGGCUGGGCGGCUGCGUGAAGACAACCAGCGACGCGAAGAUGAACUCCACCCCGAGCUACAACGCCGGUCUGUGUACUCCGCCCCUAGCCGACCUGGUCCGGAGGUGGGUCAGAGCUCGCGCCAAGGCGCCCGGAGUUCCGUAGAUUCGGAUGACCGUGCUCGGUAUGGGUCUGAGGAGUCGGACAGUGCGGACUCGCUCAAUUGGCAUAGGUCCUUGUCCUGGUCGCCGCGGUACACCCCCCGUUGCACCUCGGAGGAGGCUCCGGGUCCAGUUGGGCCGUCGACGAAGCGGAAGAAGAAGCACUCGGGUGGGCUCAGUGGUCAGCAGGAGGCCCCGGUGAUUCCCCCGGCCAGAGCCAGUCGCGCCCGGACCCAUGAUGAGACAUUGUGCAUCAACUGUGGGUGUGCCGGUCACUUCCAUUCGGAGUGCUUGACGCCCUCCCGGUGCCCUACCACUCUUGCCUACCUGGGGUACGGGGUGGAGGGGGGUGGCUUCUACUAUGUGGACGCGACCCUGGAGGACGAACCCGUCCGGCCGCACCUAGCGACGAUCACCCUCGUGCCGGAUCAGCAGCCGCCGCCGUCGGUUGUGGUUACCGCUGAGACCAUACGGGCAGAGCUGUCAGCAUACAUUGGCGAUUAUAGAGACAGCGCCUUCUCUUGGGAAGUCACUGAGACAGCACCGAUGGUCUUCUCGGUACCCUUCCCUUCUGCUGAGAUGCUCAAUGUCUGCAGCCACGACCACAUCAAGUGCCCCAUCAACAACUUCAUGAUCUCAAUCCAGAAGGCUGAUGCUGUGCCGGACACGGUGGCCCCCCUUACCCAGGUGUGGAUGCUCAUCUACGGGCUCCCGAGUGGGGGCAAGCGCAAGCACAUUCUCAAGGCCAUCUCGGAGCCGGUGGGCAAGAUUCUGACGGUCGAUCUGGAUUCCUUGGAGGGCGAUGGCCCGGCGCGCGUCAAGCUCCUUUGUCAGGCUCCAGCUGAUGUGGACGGCCUGUCCUUAAUCUUUUACUUCGGCAAGAACAAGGGCAAGUGUAUCACCUACAAGAUCGAUCUGGAUCCACUAGAGGGGCGACCGGAGGACGAGCCGCCCGCACCAACACCGGCCCCACCCGUGGCGGGACGGGACAAUGAGGACAGCCAGUCUGAGGACAACUCCCCGAAGUCGGAUGAUGGGCUUCCGCCGACGGCGUCGACCGAGAACCGUCGCGCGCCAGCUUCGGCUGGUACGGUGGGCGCUGGACUGCCGGGUGGCUCCACCCUCGCCCUUGCUGUUGUAGCGGCAUCUUCGCUGGUUCCUGAGCUGGAGGAGGAGACCCUGAAUGCUAGGCUGGAUGUUCGCCCGCCGUCCCCGCCGCGCUCCCCUGGGGUGGUGUGCUACUCUCGCUCGCACCGACUCCCCCGUGGCCAGCCUCGGGACCCGGCCUGUACCCUCACCGGCAGUGGCAUCCAGGCAGAGCGCGCGUCUCUGCCGAUCUCGGACUCUCCCGGGCGGUUGGGUUCCUACGAUCCCGGAGAAGGUGGCCAUGUGUGCGGCGACACAUGA